UAACUGACUCCAAAAAUGGUUAAUUUCAAUGAAUAUUGGAGUGAUAUCUGAAUGUAAAUGCUGAUUCAUAUCUAAUGCUUGUAGCAGUUUUAUUUAGUAGAAGUAUGUCAAAACUGAUAAAGGAUGAUACUGUUUAUUGAGGCCUAUGUGUCUUACCGUGUUGCAUGAGUGUGUGAAGAAACUUUCAGCAAGCUCAAGUAGAGGAUUCCCUCAAUGUAGGAAAGUCAUUUCACCACAAGGGUUUGAGAAAUAAUGGAUAUUAUCUACAAGUAUUCACCCAACUUAUAUCCAAGCUGAUCUAUUUAGGACCCUUCCCUGUAGACAUGAAGUAUACAUUCAACUGAAGUGUCAUUGUAAUUGUGUACCUUCUCAGUUAUUGGGCAAGUUAAAGAGCAUGAGGAAUAUUUGUAGUCUCGUGGUAUAAAUUCUUUUGAUAUGUUGCAUGAAAGAUAUGUGGGAGUAGUGCCACCUGCUUUGACAUUGAUUCCCAGGUGUCUGAGUUGCUUCUCUGGUUUUAGAUCACAUUGGUCCUCAUUCCUCAGCAUAUUGACAUUGUUACUGAUACUCUCUUAUUUUUGAAAUAUUUAUAUGAAAAAUUACAUCGCAUUUGAAAUUGUCAGAGUAUAUAUUGUGAAGCCUGUAUUGUUGUUUUCUUCAGUGUGUUUCUGUCAUGUUCCUGUUUCAAGACACAAAGUAUAAAACCUCAAAGCCUACGCGAAUACAGGCAGAAAAAUACAGGUUGAUGCUAAUACGGAAUGAAUGUUUCUAUAUCUUUACCACAUUUACAUAUGGUUUAUUAUGUAUCCCUUUUUCUCUUCAGUGUCUUCUCAGAAACAACUGACCUUGGAGGUAAUUACACCCUCAUUUGUAUUUUGAACUAUUAACUGUGUAGUCUAUGAUAUAUCCUUUAUGUGUUGAUUAUUUUUCUUCAAAUCCCCUUCAGGAUCUAAGUGAUGAGAAAGAUUCCGUUUCCAAUAUAGCCCCAGAAAUAAAGGAUGGAUCAACAUCUGAGACAGUGCAUCCUGCCGUUGACAAGCAUUUAAACAGGCAUUUCUGGGCACAGCGUGUUUUUCCCAAGUCUGGGCUAAAGGACGAUUCUGAUUCUGAUUCUGAUUCUGUGGUAAAGUACUCACUUGUAAAAUUAAAUUCUCACUCUGAAUCUCAUUUUGUAUAUUACUAUCUUCUAGAUGUAGCAGUUGUCUACCUAUCAGUGUUUUACGGUUGCAUUAAAAAUUUUAUUAGAGAUAACCAUUUCAAAGACAUAGGAGGGGUUAAUUUUUAUUUUGUUUACUUGGCAAAUAAGAAAUAGUUGAUAAGUACUUUGAGAGGUGGGAUCUGAAAAAAAUGGGCUGGAAAAUAUAUGCUGACAGGAAAAUGAUGUUGGAGAAUGCUUUCUUGCAAUAGAGGAAAUAGGAAUGUUGGUCUAGACUUAUUUGAGUAAGUGUCUUUAUUUUGAGUUAUAAAUAAUAUGAGUAUGAGUAAUAAUACUUCUGUUUAAAUGUGUGUUUAAUAGAUUAAAUGACAUUACAGGAAUCAUGGAAUCACCCUGCUACACAUAGCGUAUAGUUUCUUUUAAUGUCUUUUACAUUUACUUUGAUAUAUACCAUUUUUGCAGUGAGCAGUUUCUUUAUUUUUACCUUCGGUUCUAUAAUUAGACUAAAAGAAUACCAGAGAUUCUGGAAAUUUGACUAGACAGGGUAACAUAUGCCUGUAGUCCCAGCUCUUCAAGAGAUGAAGCUAGGAGAAUUGCUUGAGUCCAUGCAAGACCUUAUCUCUAAUUAAAAAUAAAAAAUUGUGGGAGAUUAGAAAUUUAAGUUCCCUUCUGAAAUCUGUAUUACAAAGGGUCUACACUGUGUUUUCUAAAUAUUUUUAUAAUUAAGAAUACGCUUUAAACGCUUCAUCUAUUGGAAGAAUAUAUAUUUUGUUAAAAAAAAAAAAACAACCUGUUUGAUAAGCAGAGACUCUUCAUAUUCUUAUGGUAAGACUUUAAUUCCGCAAGGGUUUUGCAUUAUAAUUUAAAAAAAUAUCCACUCGGGGUCCUUGUAUCUCAUUCUGAACUUCAAAUUUUGGAGUCUUUUGCACUUUGUUCUUGAAAAAGUAGUUGUAAAGCUCCUGCAUUACUAUGAGCCACUUGAAAUAGAGAACAUAUUUGUAUGUAUCCUGGAAUACGUAGAAUAAUAUCUUGCAUAUCAAAAACAGUGUAACAGUUUUAGUGUGAAUAAACAAACCAGAAAAUGGGCUUUUAUAUAAUGGAAUGUUAUAGUUAACACAUAUGCAUAAUAUAGCUAAUAAUGAAAUCUGUUAAAUUUCUAGAAUGUUUUCAGUUUAUCUUUUCUUCUAAGGUUGACAAUGUGUAAAUUUACGUGACUUCUGUUUAGAAAAUACAUCAUAUGGAAGAAAAUAAAAAUUAGAAAAGAUGGAUUGAAAUUGGAAAGGUGGAUACAACAUGUUUUCUAAUACCUUCCAACUGGAAGCGUAGGUUAGGAUUUUGGAUAAAAUUUUCUUAACUGUUAAAGCUCCAGUCAUAUUCUAUUAAAUAUAUAUAUUUCAAGGCAUACAUUAUUCUUUGAAAUUGUGAAUAAAAAUUAUUAGUCCAGGAGGAAGAUCCAAGAUGCUCAUUUAGGAGCAGCUCGGGAUUGCAGCUCCCAGCGAAAGCGCAGAGGGUGAGUGGACACCGCAUUUCCAGAUGGAUCUUUAUUGCCCAGAGAUCAGGAGAUUCCCAGGCAGAGGAGCCCCAUGAGUCACCAGUGCGGCUGUUUUGGCCAGCGCGGCUAUUUUGCUGGUGCUCCAGCGUGGCAGUUCUCCAUACAAAAUACACUGGUGUGGUUGUCCUUUUAAGCUGGUGAUUGGAACUCCAGGAAGUUAGAGUCGCCCAUACACCUCAUUAAACAGGGGUCUGAAACAGGGAGCCAGGCCAGGGGAUUACCAGGUGAAAAAGUGCCACGAAUCUCAGUGCCGUUGUUUCAGACAGUGCAGUGGGUCACCACAUGGGAAAUCACACAGAUCCCGGUGUUUUUUCAGCAGGCGACUGGAA
RNAcentral lists this long non-coding RNA (3034 nucleotides) under Callithrix jacchus (white-tufted-ear marmoset). RNAcentral describes it as "lncRNA (ENSCJAG00000069876.1)". Lineage: Eukaryota; Metazoa; Chordata; Mammalia; Primates; Cebidae. The record is from RNAcentral.